AGACCGGAGCUUCAGCCCCCCACGGAAGGCUGCUCGCACCCACGCGCCAGCAGCAGAGAGGGUGGAGAAAGAGAAUCCACCACUGGCAGGAUAUGUCCCUACUGGCUUAACCUUAGCCACACAGACCAGGGGUGUCCUGUUUCGAGACGGGGGAUGCCCCAGCACCCAAGGCCCAUGCGUUCAGCUACAGGAAGGGGGUCUGCUCCCACCAGCCAGCCUCCUGGCGGAGUUACCAGUCGUGGUGGGGCCUCCUGGAGGAAGCAGCUGCUGACAGCCCACCCAGACACCAGGCCCUCCCCUGUGGGGUCUGCUCCCCAAAGGCCUGGAAGCCUGGGCUCUCCUGCAGGGGCCCACAGCCUCACGACCACAGGGGCUCUGGCGGGGAGCCCCAGGAGCCGAACGCCGCACUGGCCCUUCUCUCCCACAGCCCUGUCAGACCCUGCUGCCAAGGAAAACUGCAUGAUGCACCUGCUCCGCUCCCUGCCCGACCCCAACCUCAUCACCUUCCUCUUCCUGCUGGAACACUUGGUUGCCGAGAAGGAGCCCAUCAACAAAAUGUCACUUCACAACC
Molecule: small RNA, 571 nt
Filed under: Pongo abelii (Sumatran orangutan)
Lineage: Eukaryota; Metazoa; Chordata; Mammalia; Primates; Hominidae
Description: retained intron
Source: RNAcentral